AUUAUUUUGGCAGAUUAGUGCAUUAAAUUUAGAAUUUAAUUAUAUAGUAUAUACUAUAAAUAAUAC
RNAcentral lists this transfer RNA (66 nucleotides) under Tinotus morion. Its description in RNAcentral is "tRNA-Leu". The record is from RNAcentral. Lineage: Eukaryota; Metazoa; Arthropoda; Insecta; Coleoptera; Staphylinidae.